Molecule: unclassified non-coding RNA, 1969 nt
Filed under: Hevea brasiliensis (rubber tree)
Lineage: Eukaryota; Viridiplantae; Streptophyta; Magnoliopsida; Malpighiales; Euphorbiaceae
Source: RNAcentral
AUUGAAAAGAAUUAUUAUUCUUUCAAAAGAUACAGAAAUGUGAAAACGUACAUAAAAAAAUUUUGAACAAAUAGAAUUUUAUUCUUCAGUUGUACUCUUCUGAGUAUGUACAUUUCAAUUCUGAAACUACAUAAUUAUGGUGAUUUAAUUAUUAAAGAAUCAAGAAGAGAAAAAUAACAAUGACCAUGCUUAAUAAAAUCACAAAAUGCUGCCAUCUGGGAUCACUGCAUUCUGUAGGACAACCACUAUUCCUUCACUGAUUAUGUACCCAUUAGCUUCCCUGCUGCCUUCUUGCACUUUGUCCUUAUUAAUGAUCAUUACGUUUCUGCCAAUUCUUGCAUUCUUGUCUAUUAGAGCUUGCCUUAUCUGAGUAUCAUCACCAAUUCCUAUUGGAAUAUCCAUGCCCUUCACAUCAAUUCCACUCUUCUGAAUAUGCUUUAUUUGGUAAUCAGAGCCCAUGAUCACUGAAUCUUCAAUUAUGGCUCUAUCUCCAAUUCUUGUCCCCAUGCCUACUACUGUUCCUUUGAUCUUGCACCUAUUGAGAAUGCAACCAUCUCCAAUAACACUAUCUGUUAUGUCUGCAUCAGUUAUGGUAGUUGGAGGAAGAUAGCGCGGCAUGGUGUACAGAGGAGAGUCUAUAUCACAGAAGCUGCUAUGAAAGGAGCAAGUCUUUUUGUUAGUUGAUGAGAGGAAAUUAUAGAUGCGAAAUUUUGGUAAUGCUCAUUGUAAUGGUAUAAAACUUUCACCCUUACUGGUAUUAAGAUUACUGACUUAUAUCCCAUGUUUGAUCUCUUUAUGAUUUGCAUGCUUGCUUCAUAAAAUGCUGAAAUGCUCCUCAAGUCCUCCCAGUAUCCUUCGAACCGAUAAGCGUGAACCUUCAUUCCAGUGGAUAUCGCACCAGGUAUCACUUCAGUUCCAAAGUCAUUUGCCUUGGGAAAGUAAGUGUCUAGAAGCUUUGUCAUAACGUGUCUAUUAACUAGGUAGAUCCCCAUACUUGACAACUUUCUAUUUGCAGAAUCAUUAAAUUUUCUGGAGCUUUUUACUGAGGUUGCAAUUCUUGGCUCCUUCUCUGAUCUCCAGCUAAACUCUGCAACUUCAUUUUGUGAAUUCACUUUCAAUAGGCCAAAACCUGGGUCUGGUUCUCUAAUAUAAUCCAAAGCUGCAAUGGUUAUAUCUGCCUGGCUACUCCUGUGCGCUUCUAUUAGUUUCUGGUAGUCCAUUUUGUAGAGAUGGUGGCCAGGAAGGAUCAAAAACUCCAAUACCGGGAACUCUUCCAGUACCCACAAGCAUCUUCUCAUAGCAUCAGCAGUUCCCUGAAACCAGCCUUGGUCUUCAGGACUCUGAUAAGCUGCAAUCACUUCAAGAAAGCCUUCUCUGCCAAGGCCUAGUCCAUUAUAAGCUCUUGAGAGGUGAGAAUUGAGAGAUGUAGAGUUGAAUUGUGUAAUGGCAUAUAUCUUGUUUAUGUUACUGUUAAUGCAGUUGCUCACAACUGCAUCGAUGAUCCUAUAAUUUGCUGCUAUAGGAAUUGCUCCUUCUGAUCUUCUCUUUGUCAAUGGGUAGAGCCUCGACUCUGAUCCGUCUCCAAACACAAUGGCGGCAACACUCUGAUUUACUGGAGGGGACAAUGAGAUGGGAUAUUGAGGUUGCUGGGAAUUCGAUACGAAUAGGCUUCGUGAAGGGGACGAUAAAUUUGAUAAACAUUUUGGACGAUUAUGACUCAAUUCAAGAAUGGAAAGCUUUGCCUGGACUUGGAGAUUUACAGGGUUGAAACUAGGAAGCUGCGAUAUCAUCACCAUGAGAAGGAAGAACAAGAGUCUAAUAAACUUAAACGAACAAUUAUUGUUUUUCCCUCUAAAUUUGUGAUUUAAUAGAGAGAAAUGGGAGAGAAUAUUUUGGUUUCUUCCUCCUCAUGGCUAUUUGAGACAGAUCUUCCUUUCUUAGCUGGUAUUUGUUAGCUACUAAAAGCUUG